Oncorhynchus keta (chum salmon) is the source of this 333-nucleotide long non-coding RNA. RefSeq lists it as uncharacterized. NCBI's taxonomy places the organism in Eukaryota, Metazoa, Chordata, Actinopteri, Salmoniformes, Salmonidae. The transcript has 5 exons. The record is from RefSeq and is a predicted model, not a curated record.
AAAAGGGUCUGCAGGGCUUCCAUGUUGUUAGGAGGGGGUGAGCCAGAGCUUGGUGGAGUCCCGCGUUGAAAAGGGUCUGCAGGGCUUCCAUGUUGUUAGGAGGGGGUGAGCCAGAGCUUGGUGGAGUCCCGCGUUGAAAAGGGUCUGCAGGGCUUCCAUGUUGUUAGGAGGGGGUGAGCCAGAGCUUGGUGGAGUCCCGCGUUGAAAAAGGUCUGCAGGGCUUCCAUGUUGUCUGGAGGGGGUGAGCCAGAGCUUGGUGGAGUCCCGCGUUGAAAAAGGUCUGCAGGGCUUCCAUGUUGUCUGGAGGGGGUGAGCCAGAGCUUGGUGGAGUCC